RNAcentral lists this unclassified non-coding RNA (345 nucleotides) under soil metagenome. Its description in RNAcentral is "partial contains 5.8S ribosomal RNA, internal transcribed spacer 2, and large subunit ribosomal RNA". The stretch from base 1 to 120 matches the Rfam family "5.8S ribosomal RNA", at positions 35 to 154 of the family's 154-position model. The record is from RNAcentral.
GAUCAAGAACGUAGCGAAAUGCGAUACGUAAUGUGAAUUGCAGAAUUCAGUGAAUCAUCGAGUCUUUGAACGCACAUUGCGCCCCCUGGUAUUCCGGGGGGCAUGCCUGUCCGAGCGUCAUUGCUGCCCUCAAGCACGGCUUGUGUGUUGGGCCUCCGUCCUCCUCCCGGGGGACGGGCCCGAAAGGCAGCGGCGGCACCGCGUCCGGUCCUCGAGCGUAUGGGGCUUCGUCACCCGCUCUUGUAGGCCCGGCCGGCGCUUGCCGACACAUCAAUCUUUUUUCCAGGUUGACCUCGGAUCAGGUAGGGAUACCCGCUGAACUUAAGCAUAUCAAUAAGCGGAGGA